Molecule: ribosomal RNA, 497 nt
Filed under: uncultured bacterium
Lineage: Bacteria
Description: partial 16S ribosomal RNA
Rfam family: Bacterial small subunit ribosomal RNA
Source: RNAcentral
GAUGAACGCUGGCGGCGUGCCUAAUACAUGCAAGUCGAGCGAACGGACGAGAAGCUUGCUUCUCUGAUGUUAGCGGCGGACGGGUGAGUAACACGUGGAUAACCUACCUAUAAGACUGGGAUAACUUCGGGAAACCGGAGCUAAUACCGGAGAAUAUUUUGAACCGCAUGGUUCAAAAGUGAAAGACGGUCUUGCUGUCACUUAUAGAUGGAUCCGCGCUGCAUUAGCUAGUUGGUAAGGUAACGGCUUACCAAGGCAACGAUGCAUAGCCGACCUGAGAGGGUGAUCGGCCACACUGGAACUGAGACACGGUCCAGACUCCUACGGGAGGCAGCAGUAGGGAAUCUUCCGCACUGGGCGCCAGCCUGACGGAGCAACGCCGCGUGAGUGAUGAAGGUCUUCGGAUCGUAAAACUCUGUUAUUAGGGAAGAACAUCUGUGUAAGUACCUGUGCACAUCUUGACGGUACCUAAUCAGAAAGCCACGGCUAACUACGUG